GGGUAACCUGCCUGUAAGACUGGGAUAACUCCGGGAAACCGGGGCUAAUACCGGAUGCUUGAUUGAACCGCAUGGUUCAAUUAUAAAAGGUGGCUUUUAGCUACCACUUACAGAUGGACCCGCGGCGCAUUACCUAGUUGGUGAGGUAACGGCUCACCAAGGCAACAAUGCGUAGCCAACCUGAAAGGGUGAUCGGCCACACUGGGACUGAAACACGGCCCAAACUCCUACGGGAGGCAGCAUUAGGGAAUCUUCCGCAAUGGACAAAAGUCUGACGGACCAACCCCCCGUGAGUGAUGAAGGUUUUCGGAUCGUAAAACUCUGUUGUUAGGAAAAAACAAUUACCGUUCAAAUAGGGCGGUACCUUGACGGUACCUAACCAAAAAGCCACGGUUAACUACUUGCCAGCACCCGCGGUAAUACUUAGGUGGCAACCGUUGUCCGGAAUUAUUGGGCGUAAAGCGCGCGCAGGCGGUUUCUUAAUUCUGAUGUGAAAGCCCCCGGCUCAACCGGGGAGGGUCAUUGGAAACUGGGGAACUUGAUUGCAAAAGAGGAGAGUGAAAUUCCACUUGUAGCGGUGAAAUGCGUAGAGAUGUGAAGGAACACCAUUGGCGAAGGCGAUUCUCUGGUCUGUAACUGACGCUGAGGCGCGAAAGCGUGGGGAGCGAACAGGAUUAGAUACCCUGGUAGUCCACGCCGUAAACGAUGAGUGCUAAGUGUUAGAGGGUUUCCGCCCUUUAGUGCUGCAGCAAACGCAUUAAGCACUCCGCCUGGGGAGUACGGUCGGCAGACUGAAACUCAAAGGAAUUGACGGGGGCCCGCACAAUCGGUG
Molecule: ribosomal RNA, 832 nt
Filed under: Bacillus sp. CMST-SSS
Lineage: Bacteria; Bacillati; Bacillota; Bacilli; Caryophanales; Bacillaceae
Description: bacterial SSU rRNA
Rfam family: Bacterial small subunit ribosomal RNA
Source: RNAcentral